GACGAACGCUGGCGGCGUGCUUAACACAUGCAAGUCGAACGGAAAGGCCCUGCUUUUGUGGGGUGCUCGAGUGGCGAACGGGUGAGUAACACGUGAGUAACCUGCCCUUAACUUUGGGAUAACUUCAGGAAACUGGGGCUAAUACCGGAUAGGAGCUCCUGCUGCAUGGUGGGGGUUGGAAAGUUUCGGCGGUUGGGGAUGGACUCGCGGCUUAUCAGCUUGUUGGUGGGGUAGUGGCUUACCAAGGCUUUGACGGGUAGCCGGCCUGCGAGGGUUACCGGCCACAUUGGGACUGAGGUACGGCCCAGACUCCUACGGGAGGCAGAAGUGGGGAAUAUUGCACAAUGGGCGGAAGCCUGAUGCAGCAACGCCGCGUGCGGGAUGACGGCCUUCGGGGUGUAAACCGCUUUCGCCUGUGACGAAGCGUGAGUGACGGUAAUGGGUAAAGAAGCACCGGCUAACUACGUG
RNAcentral lists this ribosomal RNA (468 nucleotides) under uncultured bacterium. RNAcentral describes it as "partial 16S ribosomal RNA". It matches the Rfam family "Bacterial small subunit ribosomal RNA", at positions 28 to 507 of the family's 1533-position model. The record is from RNAcentral.